UUGGAAUGAAGAAGUAAGAAGCUGGAGUUGAUGAAGAGACCAAGCAUCAAGAGCAAGCAAAUCCGGAACAAGCAGAUUUGAAUCUGUCCGUACAGUUUUGGCUUGCAAGUAACCAAACCUAACCUAGAGUGUCUUGGAAGUCAAGGCAAGUGGGGAACUCGUCCAGCUGAGCUUUCUGAAGCAUAUUUGAAGUUUAAAUUAAGUGUGAGACCGUUGGAGAGAGAUCUGGCAAGUUGGAGAAUUAAUUAAGAUAAAAGUCACAUGUGCAUAAGGAGAUGAACCUGCUGUCACUUUCACCCAACCAGACUGUGCCCAUCUCUCUCUCCUGUCACUCUCUACUCCCUCUGGUCGAGAUUCUCCUUGGCUGCAUCCUCCUGGCUCCAUCAGAAACCCUACAAUAAUAUUAGUUUAGUAAAUCUGUACUUUAACAAUUGUUUAAUCACUUGCAACUUGUAAUCUGGCUAUAAAGCCACCCCAUUGUAACCAUUACGAAAUCAAGCUGAAUGGGGGAGUUUCCCCUUUCUUCUUCACCAUUCUCAAGUCUCUUAUACUCUCCCUAAUCUCUGGUUACAAGAAUCUCUCUCAUACUCUCUUAAAUCUCACUUAAUCUCUCUUAUUCUCCAUUGCAGUCUCUUUAAUUCUCACUUACUCUCUUCACUCUGUUCUCUUUCAAUCCAACCACUCUCUGUUCUAAACAACACUCACACACCAUAAUCUGUCUAUUCUCACAUGGUAUCAGAGCUCCAAGCUCCUGAGAAUCCAUAGAGCUUCCGCAAAUCUGUUACAGUUCAUACUUCUCUUCAAAAAUCUCUGUUUCUGUUCAUCCUUGUAUCCUCUGGUCUAAAGCUUUUCCAGGAGGGAAGAGACUCACCAGAAGUCAAGAUAAAGGAGGUCUUUAGUAUCUGAAACUCAAAGCUUCCACAAUUCAAGCAUAGGCUCACCCUCAUUGUUAUUUCAAAUCAUUGGAGAGUUUCUGUCCAGCCAGCUGUUCAAUCUCUUCAAGAGGAAGAAGACUACAAACAUGGCGUGUCCAGAGACUUCCCAAGGUCUAUCACCCUUCCUCCUGUUCAGCCUGAAGAGAUCUCUUGGAGAAAGAAGGUUUUGGAGCUGUUUGGCAAGCAAUGCUCCAAACCAAGUCUGUACAAGUGUUUUUCAAGUUCUUCCCAAAGUGGAGUCUCUCACUGUGUGCCAGAAGGUGGCGCCUGGUAAUCAGGAAGAAAGGAGGGGUCUUAAGCAUGAGUGGUCUAAAGGGAAAGCACACACAAGGAAAUGGCGUGGGGUAGAGAUCCCAAACUCCAAAUCUGUCAAGUUCAAGUGAACAGUGUGCCUUGGAGGUUCAAGGAACCAGCUCAGGUUCCUUGUUUGUAAGUUAACCUCCUACCUUUAAUAAGAGCUUGAUUAGUUAUGUCUGGUUGUGUUGAGUGGUGUGUUUGGUAUCCUUGGGACAGGUUCAAGUUGCUAGAGUUGUUGAACCUAGUUCCUGUCCCAUGAUACUUAAAUUGUGUGUGUUGCUCUGUUUCUUAAAUUAUUUCGAGGAGUUGUCUAGCAUGGUAUUGUCUAGUUUCUGUCCUAGAUUAAUUGUUUCUGUUUGUAUUGUGCUAGGCGAUUUGUUUAGCUACUGUCAUUGUCUUGUUGCAUUGAUAGAGGUCUAGGAGAGUCUCCUGAUCUUGUAUUGCAUUAUAUAUAUAUUGUUCACGAUGAUUAGAUGAGUUGUUUAGUCUCUGUUUAUUGUCUUUAAAAUUCAUAAAAAGAGCCUAAUUGCCUUGUUAUUGAUGAGUUAUCAUACCUGAGCAGUUAGUGAUGUUUAGUAUGCAUGGAGUUGAACUGAAUGAGUUGUUUAGAUUCUGUUCAUUGCAUAUUUUCUUUCUCUUAAAACAUUGGGAUCAGACUUGGUGAAUUAUCAAGGGCUGAUCCUAGUGUGUGUGGUCUGAUUCUUGCUGGAGUUUGAGUGAUGUUUCAGGUACACAAGAGGUGAUCUCUGUCCAUCAUCAAACUAAGACAAAGAAGAAGGCAUUCCUGAACCGUGGAGAUUGCCCAGUCCCAAAUCCUAUCUAUGUGUCUGCCCAUUUCCUACCCUGAAGAUAGAAAGGAUGUUGGAGAAUUGGAGAAACUGCUCAGAAGUGACUUACCUGAUGCCAAGAGGAUGUACAGGAGGUGCACUCAAGAGAAAAGGCCAUCACUAAGCCAAGAGUGGCCGGUGGUCAGAGGCAUGGAUCAAGGUGUUUAGUCCUGACCAUGUAAAGAUACCUUGUGAGUGGAAUCAGUUGGCUUAAGCGCAGGCGUAGGAGCUGUUGUGCUCCUGGUUCAAGAGACUCACAAGGAAGGCCAUCACCUAAGUCAUGAGGAGACUGGUGGUCCAAAGACAUUGGAGCUGAAGGCAAAUGGUGAACUGGUUGGCUUAAGCGCAGAUGUUGGUAUUGUUGUGCUCCCAGUUCAAAACUCAUUGAAGCUCACAUUCAAGCUUGUCACUAUACUCAGUCAAGCUUGAGGAGGGGAAUAUCAGUGAGCUACCAAAAGAUCCAUGAAGCUUACUGUAUCCAGUGUCCCAUUUCCUCAUAGAAGACCAGCAAGAGGUUGGCGAAUUAAAAGAGGACUUAAGUGAUCAGUCUGAAGAAGCUGUCACUCCUCACUGUUCUUACCAGCCAGAUGCAAGGAUUAUUCAAUCAGGGACAUUCUUGGCUAAGCAAUCACAUGAUGGUGGCAAAUUAUGGAGUUGCAAAGUCCCCCUACAUGUUGAAACUUCAAGAGAAUAAUGCAAAGGCUGGUUGAGAGAAGUGUUGACAUGAAGCAAUAAAGAGAGGAGAAUGAAGUAAGAAGCAAGAGGGGAACAAUUACAUCCGGAUCAAGCAAUCACUCAUCUUACCUUGCUAGACAAGUCUGUCCGUACAAGACAACCCUAACUUGGAGUGCAAGACAUAAGAGUGACUGAUAUAGAAGAGAAGAAGGCAAGAAGAAUGUUUGGAAUCGCCUAAGGGAAGUGGGGAACCGUUGAGAGUGCAGGUCACGGGUCUGGUUAAGGAUUCAAAGUCUUCCCACCCGUUAGGACCUGUCACUAUCCAGGACCACUUUGCCCAUCUCUCCUCUGUCUUAACUUCUUUGUUUAUUGUUUCCUUAAUGUCGACAUCUUGCUGUAUGAAUUCUAUAAAUGGGUUGUUCCCAUAAACAAAUCAUUCAAGGGAAAAGAGUUCUCUAUUAUUCUCUUUGUCAAUCUCUCUCUCUCUCUCACGGUUCAACCUAGUUCUUCUCUAAUCUCUUCACAAAUCUUCCUUAAACUCUCACAUAAAUCCUAUAAAACUCUCAUGGUAUCAGAGCAACUGUGCUCUUGAGACCUAAAUCUCUUUUUCUUCCGCGAACUCUCUGUGUUUUAUUUCUAUUUUUGGCAAAGUUCAUCCUGUUCUUGAGGUGUUCUUCAAUCUCAUUUCCAGAAUUUGCCAAAAGUAGCAAAGUUCAUCCAAAACUUUCGUUUCUCUUUCUCUCUUGAUGGAUACCUCCGAGAACCCAAAGAUGGUAAUGAUACCAGUUACUCUCAAGGGUCCUAACUACCUGACAUGGGCAAGACUUGCCAAAACAGCUCUCGGAGGCAGAGGUCUUUGGGAGAUUGUUGAAGAAGGCCGCCCCACCAAGAAGACUGUCCUAGGAGAGGAUGGCAAAGAAGUGGUGGUUGCGGAUGCUGGGGAUAAGAAGAAAGGUCAGGAGGACCUCAUGGUGUUGUCUAUCAUCCAGAAUAGCCUCGCCCCUUCUCUCCAAGAGGCUUAUGCAUUCUGUGAAACUUCCAAGGAGCUGUGGGAUACUCUCAAGAAGGUGUAUGCCAACAAAUCCAACAUCAGCAAGGUGUAUGAAGUAAAAGGAGCAAUCAAUUCUCUAAGUCAAGAGGACACAGACUUUGAUGCUCAUUUUGGGAAGUUCCGGUCUCUAUGGGCUGAGCUAGAGAUGCUCAGACCCGCAACAGUUGAUCCGGAUGUUCUACAUGAAAGAAGGGAGCAAGAUAAGGUCUUUGCCUUGCUGCUCACUCUCAACCCAGGGUAUGAUGACCUUAUUAGGCACAUACUGAGGAACAAGGAGCUUCCAUCUCUAGAUGAAGUGUGUGCUGAGAUUCAGAAGGAGCACGGCUCAGUGGGUCUCUUUAAGAGAAAGGGAGAGCUAGUGAUGGCCAAUCAAGCUGAAGGAGCCGAGAGCAAACCUGCCGGAGUAGCCAACAAAGGGUACUACAAGCCGGAGGAAAAGAAAGUGUGGGUGUGUGAUCAUUGCAAGAGGAAGGGUCACGGCAAGGACAAGUGCUGGAUACUUCACCCACACCUCAAACCGGCUAAGUUCAAGACUGAUGGUCGGGCAAACUACUCAGGUGAUGUAGGAGAAGCUUCCACGGCCUACCGCACUCAUGAGGGCAAGGGAAACCAGGAUGAGUCCAUCAAGAAAUCUGACAUUGAGGCACUCAUCAAAGCUCUCAAGGAGUCUGGUAAAACUCUUGGUUCCUCCCUUAGUGCAUCAUAUCAAUUGCCUAGGAGUUUAUUCACGGCGUUUCAAGUUGCUCAUGAAUCUGAUAGAGUUAAACCCUUAGUCAUAGACUCAGGAGCCUCUCAUCACAUGAUUAGUGAUUUAAAUUUGAUUAAAAAUAUCACUCCUGCAGUAGGAAAUGUUAUGAUAGCUGAUGGUAACAAGGUUCCAAUUAAAGGCAUAGGGGAACUUAAAUUAUUUGAGAAAGAAUCCAAAGCUUUCUACAUGCCUAGUUUCACUUCUAAUCUAUUAUCUGUGAAAAGGGUGACCAAUGACUUGAAUUGCAAUGUUAUAUUUACGCCUGAUGAUGUCUACUUUCAGGAUAUUGACUCAUGUAGGUUGCUUGGCAAAGGUGUGAGCAAGGGAAACCUGUACUUGCUAGAAGACACUAAGCUUGCAUCCGAUCUAUCUGUUGCUUUCAAUUCAAGUUUUAAUUUCCCUAAAGAUGUAAUGUGGCAUGCUAGAUUAGGACAUCCUCAUUCUCGUGCCUUGAACAUCAUGUUGCCUAGUAUUUCAUUCCAGCAAGAUUGUGAAGCUUGUAUCUUAGGAAAACAUUGCAAAACUGUAUUUCCCAAGUCUAGUACAAUCUAUGAACACUGCUUUGAUUUAAUCCACUCGGAUGUAUGGACAGCUCCAUGUCUUUCUAGAGAACAUCACAAGUAUUUUGUGACCUUUAUUGAUGAGAAAUCCAAGUACACAUGGAUCACUCUCUUACAAUCAAAGGAUAGGGUCUUAGAUGCAUUUAUAAACUUUGAAACAUAUGUCUCUAACCAUUAUAAUGCCAAAGUUAAGAUUUUGAGAUCAGAUAAUGGAGGAGAGUACACCAGCAAUGCAUUCAAAGCUCAUCUAGCCAAACAAGGUGUGAUUCAUCAAACCAGCUGUCCAUACACUCCCCAACAAAAUGGUGUGGCCGAGAGGAAGAACAGGCAUCUCAUGGAGGUCACUAGGAGCAUGAUGUUCCAUACUAGUGUCCCAAAGAGCUUUUGGGGUGAUGCGGUCCUAACUGCAUGCUACCUGAUCAACCGCAUUCCUACCAGAGUUCUACAAGACUGCUCUCCAUUUGAGGUAUUGAACAAAGCUAAACCAUCUAUUGAUCAUAUGCGUGUGUUUGGGUGCCUUGUUUUGUUUUGAAACCAGGAGAACUGAGGAACAAACUGGAGGCUAAGAGCACAAGAGCUAUGUUCAUUGGGUAUUCACCAAACCAGAAGGGCUAUAAGUGCUAUGAACCAGAGACUAGGAGAGUCUUGGUAUCUAGAGAUGUGAAGUUUGUAGAAACCAGAGGGUACUACAACAACAAGGAUUGGAAUGAGCUGGAGAACUUGUCUCAAUCCGCAUCAGAUAGAGCAGCCAAUCUCAGACAAGUCAUGAGGAGACUUGGGGUCAGCUUACCUAUGGAAGAGCCGGGACAAGCAGGAUCAGAUAAUGUGGGAGGAUCAAGCCGGUCUGAAGAGCAAACCGAGACAACUACAGAUGAAGUUGAGAUCCAAGAAGCUGCUCCCCUUGAUCCUGAGGGGGGAAAUCAGGGUGAACCACCUGUAUCUGAGGAAGUUCAUGAUCAAGAAGAGCACCAUGACCAAGAGGAGGAAGUGGAGGAUCAGAAUCAGAACUUGGAAGGUGGAGAAGGCACUCAGAAUGAAAAUGAUCAGCCAGUACUUAGGAGAAGUACUAGGAUCAAGAAGCCGGCUUCAAACUGGAACAACACCAGAGUCUACUUCAAUGCAGAGGCAGUAGCUCACCCACCCAGUGGCGUGUGCUCCCUAGCUCACUAUCCAGAAGAACAUCAAGCCUUUGUGGGCUCAUUGGAUCAGGAAUGGAUACCAAGAACAUAUGCAGAAGCUAUGGAAGAUGAUGAAUGGAGGGAAUCAGUGAAUGAUGAAAUGGGAGCCAUGGAGAGGAACAACACCUGGUAUGAGACAGAGCUUCCAAAAGGAAAGAAAGCCGUGACCAGCAGACUCAUACACACUAUCAAGUAUCUUGCAAAUGGAAAGCCAGAAAGAAAAAAGACCAGAUUGGUAGCAAGAGGAUACACACAAGUUUAUGGAGAAGACUAUCUAGACACCUUUGCACCAGUGGCCAAGCUUCACACAAUCCGGAUUAUCCUUUCAUUGGCAGUAAAUCAAGAGUGGGAUCUUUGGCAAAUGGAUGUGAAGAAUGCCUUCUUGCAAGGUGAACUAGAAGAUGAGGUAUAUAUGAGACCACCGCCGGGAAUGGAAGAGAUGGUGAAACCAGGGAAUGUACUCAGACUCAGAAAAGCCAUAUAUGGUUUGAAACAAUCACCAAGAGCUUGGUAUCACAAGCUGAGCACUACACUGAAUGGGAGAGGCUUUGUGAAGUCUCAAGCGGAUCACACACUCUUCACUCUCACCAGCAAGCAAGGGAUUGUUGUGAUUCUAGUCUAUGUGGAUGAUAUCAUCAUCACUGGUUGUGACAAGGAGGGGAUCAGUUCAACCAAGACCUUUCUUAAAGCCGCAUUUGAUAUCAAAGACCUAGGAGAACUGAAGUACUUCCUCGGCAUUGAGAUGUGCAGAUCAAAGGAAGGAUUGUUCAUGUCCCAAAGAAAGUAUACCCUGGACAUCUUAAAGGAGGCAGGAGAUCUUGGAGGAAGACAAGCCAAGACACCACUUGAAGAAGGUUACAAGGUAUUGCGAGAGGGGGAGUAUGAAGAUACUCCAUUUGAAGAUGUCAAACAAUAUAGACGGAUGGUUGGGAAGCUGAUCUAUCUAACCAUCACUCGGCCAGAUGUGUGCUUUGCAGUUAAUCAAGUAAGCCAACAUAUGCAAACUCCCAAGGUUCAUCACUGGAACAUGGUGGAGAGGAUACUAAGAUACUUGAGAGAGGCACCAGGUCAGGGUGUAUGGAUGGCUUGCAACAAGAACACUGAGGUGAUAGGAUACUGUGAUGCAGAUUGGGCUGGGGACAGAAUAGACAGAAGAUCAACCACCGGCUAUUGUACAUUCAUUGGAGGAAAUCUGGUCACUUGGAAGAGCAAGAAACAGAAGGUAGUGUCUUGCUCUAGUGCAGAAGCAGAGUACAGAUCAAUGAGGAAGCUAACCAGUGAGCUUAUCUGGAUAAAAGGGCUUCUAGGCGACUUGGGAAUUGAGAUCAAAACUCCCAUGACCAUGCAUUGUGACAACCAAGCCGCAAUACACAUUGCAUCCAACUCAGUCUUCCAUGAGAGGACAAAACACAUAGAAGUGGACUGCCACAAGGUAAGACAAGCAGUAGAGCAGCAAGUGAUUCUCCCAUGUUAUACAAGAAGUGAGGAUCAGCUGGCUGACAUCUUCACCAAGGCGGCCAGUAGCAAAGUUUGUGAGUCCAUUCUUCCAAGACUUGGACUCAUAAACCUCCCAUGUCAAUAAUCCCCUCACCAUGGAGUAUUCUACUCUUUUUCCUUUGCUUGGUUUUUAUCCCAAGUGGUUUUUCCAAGUAAAGGUUUUAAUGAGGGAAUGCUUCAUGGAUUCCAAGCUUGACAAUCACCACUGUCAAGCUUGAGGGGGAGUGUUGACAUGAAGCAAUAAAGAGAGGAGAAUGAAGUAAGAAGCAAGAGGGGAACAAUUACAUCCGGAUCAAGCAAUCACUCAUCUUACCUUGCUAGACAAGUCUGUCCGUACAAGACAACCCUAACUUGGAGUGCAAGACAUAAGAGUGACUGAUAUAGAAGAGAAGAAGGCAAGAAGAAUGUUUGGAAUCGCCUAAGGGAAGUGGGGAACCGUUGAGAGUGCAGGUCACGGGUCUGGUUAAGGAUUCAAAGUCUUCCCACCCGUUAGGACCUGUCACUAUCCAGGACCACUUUGCCCAUCUCUCCUCUGUCUUAACUUCUUUGUUUAUUGUUUCCUUAAUGUCGACAUCUUGCUGUAUGAAUUCUAUAAAUGGGUUGUUCCCAUAAACAAAUCAUUCAAGGGAAAAGAGUUCUCUAUUAUUCUCUUUGUCAAUCUCUCUCUCUCUCUCACGGUUCAACCUAGUUCUUCUCUAAUCUCUUCACAAAUCUUCCUUAAACUCUCACAUAAAUCCUAUAAAACUCUCAAGAAGGAAUGGCGUGGAGGAUUCAAGUGCUUAGUAAUCCUCACCAACAUUCAACAAACUGAUGCAAGGUACCUAUUGAGCUCAUGAACAAAGAAAAGCUUUGUCUCAACUCCUAAAUGGAGGCAAGAAGCCAGAAGAAAGGGGGAGACAAGCUCAGGUCAUAAGAAGAAGCUCAAAUGUGAUUUGACGGUGAAGCAACUGGCGCCAAUCCAAGUCGUUCAUUGCCUCACCUCCGAUCAAAAUUGGAGUUUGCAAGUGGUGGAUUCACUCUUGCAUUACUCAGUACCAACCGGAUCAAAGAAGCUCAGUUCCAAGUGUGUGAUUGAGCUUCCAUAAUCCGGACUGUGUCUUACCAAGUGGGAUUCAAUUGGAGUCCACGCCUCACCAUUCUUAUGAAAGGGAAGCACCUUAAACUCAUCUCAAUACAUUCAUGAUUGUCCUUAUACUUUAUAUUAUUGAGUUUGAUGUGAUGAGUGCAUUUCCUUAAGAACUGAUGCAAUUUUAGAAUGGUGUAUCAGGUACCAAAAUAAGCUUGAGCCUCACUGAAGAUGAUGAUGAUGAUCCGGUCGUGUCCUAGCCUAUCUAAGAUGGCCAAAGAAGUCAGUUGAGAAGGGGAGACCCAAACCGGGUCUAUGGUCCAUGAAGAGGUCAAGCCAAGUUCUAAAGAACAAGUAACUUUGCUGGGGGUUCAGAGAAGAUGGUCUGGUCGUUUCCUUGCCUUCCUAAGGUGGCUUGAAGCCAGCUGAGAGGGGGAGACCCUAAACCGGCCACAAAAUGAUCCAGCCGGCUACUUGUGCUCAAGGAUAGCAAGUUAUGGUGAUUCAUACUUGCUAUACCUAUUAGGCCACGAUCCAGAGCCUAAGGACUCCACCAUGAUGAAUCUGAAGUUCCUUAGGCUCACUGGCCAAUCCCUAAGCUUUGUAGAAACUCCACUCUUUUUCCCUUAGCAAGUUUUGUCCCAAUGGGUUUUCUUGCUAAGGUUUUUAAUGAGGGAGCUUCUUCAAGGUUCCAAGCUUGUCCAAGGAUCUCCUAUGGUCAAGCUUGAGGGGGAGUGUUGGAAUGAAGAAGUAAGAAGCUGGAGUUGAUGAAGAGACCAAGCAUCAAGAGCAAGCAAAUCCGGAACAAGCAGAUUUGAAUCUGUCCGUACAGUUUUGGCUUGCAAGUAACCAAACCUAACCUAGAGUGUCUUGGAAGUCAAGGCAAGUGGGGAACUCGUCCAGCUGAGCUUUCUGAAGCAUAUUUGAAGUUUAAAUUAAGUGUGAGACCGUUGGAGAGAGAUCUGGCAAGUUGGAGAAUUAAUUAAGAUAAAAGUCACAUGUGCAUAAGGAGAUGAACCUGCUGUCACUUUCACCCAACCAGACUGUGCCCAUCUCUCUCUCCUGUCACUCUCUACUCCCUCUGGUCGAGAUUCUCCUUGGCUGCAUCCUCCUGGCUCCAUCAGAAACCCUACAAUAAUAUUAGUUUAGUAAAUCUGUACUUUAACAAUUGUUUAAUCACUUGC
This 10018-nucleotide long non-coding RNA is filed under the name Brassica rapa (field mustard). RNAcentral describes it as "long non-coding RNA (BRAP_LNC008996)". Lineage: Eukaryota; Viridiplantae; Streptophyta; Magnoliopsida; Brassicales; Brassicaceae. The record is from RNAcentral.